UCAAAUUUGUAAUCUGGCGCUUUCGGCGUCCGAGUUGUAAUCUCGAGAAGUGUUUUCCGCGUCAGACCGCACACAAGUCUCCUGGAACGGAGCGUCACAGUGGUGAGAACCCAGUACACGGUGCGGAUGCCUGAUGCUUUGUGAUACACUUUCGAAGAGUCGAGUUGUUUGGGAAUGCAGCUCAAAUUGGGUGGUAAAUUCCAUCUAAAGCUAAAUAUUGGCGAGAGACCGAUAGCGAACAAGUACCGUGAGGGAAAGAUGAAAAGCACUUUGGAAAGAGAGUUAACAGUACGUGAAAUUGUUGGAAGGGAAACGCUUGAAGUCAGACUUGCUAUUCGGAGCUUGCUUCGAUUCGCAGGCCCGCAUCAGUUUUCCGGGGCGGAAAAUCGUAAGGAGAAGGUAGCAGUUUCGGCUGUGUUAUAGCUCUUUACUGGAUUCGUCCUGGGGGACUGAGGAACGCAGCGUGCUUUUUGCAUGGGCUUCGGCCCAUCCACGCUUAGGAUGCGGGUGGAAUGGCUUUAAACGACCCGUC
RNAcentral lists this ribosomal RNA (532 nucleotides) under Sporobolomyces salmonicolor. RNAcentral's name for it is "eukaryotic LSU rRNA". It matches the Rfam family "Eukaryotic large subunit ribosomal RNA", at positions 109 to 653 of the family's 3401-position model. The record is from RNAcentral. Lineage: Eukaryota; Fungi; Basidiomycota; Microbotryomycetes; Sporidiobolales; Sporidiobolaceae.